AUACUUACCUGGCAAGGGAGAUACUGUGAUCAAGAAGGCAGUUCACCCAGGGCGAGGCUCAGCCAUUGCACUGCGACUGUGCUGACCCCUGCGAAUUUCCCAAAUGCGUUCGCGCUCUCCCCUGAUGUCUUGUUUAAUGAUAAAACUGUUGCUUGGC
Molecule: small nuclear RNA, 157 nt
Organism: Oncorhynchus gorbuscha (pink salmon)
Lineage: Eukaryota; Metazoa; Chordata; Actinopteri; Salmoniformes; Salmonidae
Product: U1 spliceosomal RNA
Exons: 1
Source: RefSeq, a predicted model, not a curated record